AAACUUCCAGAGAGGUGUAACACCAGGAAAGUCCUUGGGUCUCAGAGGGCUGACGGCACCAACCAGCUGAUUUGCUUCAUCUGCAGCUGAACUGCUGCUGGACUCCAGCCUAGAACACUAGCACACCGGGUCUGCUCUUGAAGAUUUGCAGAUUCUGAAAUCCAAAUGCCCUUUGUUGCCAGAAAAGGCUGGCUCCCUUGCCUGCUUCAUAAUCCCUUCUCACCAGGCUUUCCUAAAGAAACUCAAUGAGUCAGAAAGGAAGAAAACAUGUCUGAGGGAGAUCUGGAGGCAUAUGUUUGAGAUGCCUGGCCACUGGAGGUCAUCUCGUCUGCUAUGUUCACCACAGAUAAAUAAUGAAAAGAGAAUACACAACCUUGUGAUUGCUAGCAGUGAAAGCUCAGAGUUAUGACAUAACAAGUGAUUGAUCAUACUGUAAAACUCAAAUGUGAAGGGAAGGCUGGAACCUACUGGAAACUGAAGACCUAACGCAAAGAAGGAACUUUUAGGAACUAGCAGAGACUUCAAAAU
Molecule: non-coding RNA, 528 nt
Filed under: Pongo abelii (Sumatran orangutan)
Lineage: Eukaryota; Metazoa; Chordata; Mammalia; Primates; Hominidae
Source: RNAcentral